GACGAACGCUGGCGGCGUACCUAAUACAUGCAAGUCGAACGCUUCUUUCCUCCCGAGUGCUUGCACUCAAUUGGAAAGAGGAGUGGCGGACGGGUGAGUAACACGUGGGUAACCUACCCAUCAGAGGGGGAUAACACUUGGAAACAGGUGCUAAUACCGCAUAACAGUUUAUGCCGCAUGGCAUAAGAGUGAAAGGCGCUUUCGGGUGUCGCUGAUGGAUAGACCCGCGGUGCAUUAGCUAGUUGGUGAGGUAACGGCUCACCAAGGCCACGAUGCAUAGCCGACCUGAGAGGGUGAUCGGCCACACUGGGACUGAGACACGGCCCAGACUCCUACGGGAGGCAGCAGUAGGGAAUCUUCGGCAAUGGACGAAAGUCUGACCGAGCAACGCCGCGUGAGUGAAGAAGGUUUUCGGAUCGUAAAACUCUGUUGUUAGAGAAGAACAAGGACGUUAGUAACUGAACGUCCCCUGACGGUAUCUAACCAGAAAGCCACGGCUAACUACGUG
Molecule: ribosomal RNA, 508 nt
Filed under: uncultured bacterium
Lineage: Bacteria
Description: partial 16S ribosomal RNA
Rfam family: Bacterial small subunit ribosomal RNA
Source: RNAcentral